UAAUACUGAGGGUGCAAGCGUUAAUCGGAAUUACUGGGCGUAAAGCGCGCGUAGGCGGUCUGGUCAGUCAGGUGUGAAAGCCCCGGGCUUAACCUGGGAACUGCAUUUGAAACUGCCAGACUAGAGUGUGGUAGAGGGAAGUGGAAUUCCGCGUGGAGCGGUGAAAUGCGUAGAGAUGCGGAGGAACACCAGUGGCGAAGGCGACUUCCUGGACCAACACUGACGCUCAGGUGCGAAAGCGUGGGGAGCAAACAGGAUUAGAUACCCUGGUAGUCCACGCCGUAAACGAUGUCUACUAGCCGUUGGGGAGCUUGUCUCCUUAGUGGCGCAGCUAACGCGAUAAGUAGACCGCCUGGGGAGUACGGUCGCAAGACUA
Molecule: ribosomal RNA, 376 nt
Filed under: uncultured Gammaproteobacteria bacterium
Lineage: Bacteria; Pseudomonadati; Pseudomonadota; Gammaproteobacteria
Description: bacterial SSU rRNA
Rfam family: Bacterial small subunit ribosomal RNA
Source: RNAcentral